CUACGGGCUGCUGCAGUGGGGAAUAUUGCACAAUGGGCGCAAGCCUGAUGCAGCCAUGCCGCGUGUAUGAAGAAGGCCUUCGGGUUGUAAAGUACUUUCAGCGGGGAGGAAGGGAGUAACGUUAAUACCUUUGCUCAUUGACGUUACCCGCAGAAGAAGCACCGGCUAACUCCGUGCCAGCAGCCGCGGUAAUACGGAGGGUGCAAGCGUUAAUCGGAAUUACUGGGCGUAAAGCGCACGCAGGCGGUUUGUUAAGUCAGAUGUGAAAUCCCCGGGCUCAACCUGGGAACUGCAUCUGAUACUGGCAAGCUGGAGUCUCGUAGAGGGGGGUAGAAUUCCAGGUGUAGCGGUGAAAUGCGUAGAGAUCUGGAGGAAUACCGGUGGCGAAGGCGGCCCCCUGGACGAAGACUGACGCUCAGGUGCGAAAGCGUGGGGAGCAAACAGGAUUAGAUACCCGAGUAGUC
Molecule: ribosomal RNA, 464 nt
Filed under: uncultured bacterium
Lineage: Bacteria
Description: partial 16S ribosomal RNA
Rfam family: Bacterial small subunit ribosomal RNA
Source: RNAcentral